AACUUCUUCUUCUCAGCCACUUGGUGGGGAGGGGAGGGGGGGGGGGGGGGGGGCAACCCUAACAGAAAAGGGAGGGUCGAUUGCGAGAGAGAGAUAGUGAGAUCGACUCAUAAGAGAGCAAGCCGAAUGAGUACAAGAUUCUAGAGAGGAAGUAGGAGAGGAAGUAGGAUCUUAAAAUAGCUAGUUUGAUCUAGAGAAGAAUGGGUAGAAAGGGUACGAAGAUCUAAAGAGGAACCGAUGGCAUUGUGUUAUGACGUCGCCAAAGAGGACUUGAGAGAGAACCGACAUUAUAACUAAACAUCCACGUGGUGAUAGGAGGUAAGACAAAUUUGGGUUUCAGACACGAAAAUAGAGAUCUAUAUUUUUAAAUUCCUUCUUUCGAAGGAUGUAUGCAUUAUUGGGG
RNAcentral lists this long non-coding RNA (403 nucleotides) under Carica papaya (papaya). Its description in RNAcentral is "long non-coding RNA (CPAP_LNC001712)". The record is from RNAcentral. Lineage: Eukaryota; Viridiplantae; Streptophyta; Magnoliopsida; Brassicales; Caricaceae.